Molecule: microRNA precursor, 75 nt
Organism: Ciona intestinalis (vase tunicate)
Lineage: Eukaryota; Metazoa; Chordata; Ascidiacea; Phlebobranchia; Cionidae
Source: Ensembl
UUUGUAGGAUGAAAAGGUGAAUACAUAGCAACAUGCACCAAUAUUAAAUUUAUAUUUUCAUCUUUUGAUCCUAUG